GUAAAUACACAGAGAGGUGUAUGUCACUGUAAAUACACAGAGGUGUAUGUCACUGUAAAUACACCGAGAGGUGUAUGUCACUGUAAAUACACAGAGGUGUAUGUCACUGUAAAUACACAGAGGUGUAUGUCACUGUAAAUACACUUAGAGGUGUAUGCCACUGUAAAUACACAGAGGUGUAUGUCACUGUAAAUACACCGAGAGGUGUAUGUCACUGUAAAUACACAGAGGUGUAUGUCACUGUAAAUACACAGAGAGGUGUAUGUCACUGUAAAUACACUUAGAGGUGUAUGCCACUGUAAAUACACAGAGAGGUGUAUGUCACUGUAAAUACACAGAGAGGUGUAUGUCACUGUAAAUACACAGAGGUGUAUGUCACUGUAAAUACACAGAGGUGUAUGCCACUGUAAAUACACAGAGGUGUAUGUCACUGUAAAUACGUAGAAAGUUUAUUUUAACCUCUCUUUUAAGUAUUCAAGUAUUCUUGACUGGUUAUGAACAAGUUAUAGAAGAGCUUCAAUAACUCUUAGAGUAGUCGAUAAGCUUUAAGCUCAGUUAAGCAGCCUGCUGCAAUCUUUCAUAUAGUAUAACGAACACCGCCUAUAAUGAAAAAGAAUAGAUGCUGACAAUGGAAACCCAGACGUUAACUUGACCGUACCCUGACUGUCCCACAUUGUCAAACUGGCGAUUCACACUACAUUGUUAACAGGCAGAUUAUUAUUAUUAUUAUUAUUAUUAUUAUUAUUAUUAUUAUUAUUAUUAUUAGGAAACGCCAAAUCUGUAGUUAUACAAUAUCUAGCGAAUAGACCUCAAGCGGUGUAGGGCUUUUGAUUCAGGUAACUGGAGCUACCUUCCUUCCUGGGAUCAAACCUAAAUGCUUUCCUUAUAGGGAACGAGAUUACUAUCCCUUGAAUAAAAGCAAUACAAAUACAGAAAAAUAACGAAUAAAGUAGCAAUAAUAAUAAUAAUAAUAAAAAUA
Molecule: non-coding RNA, 979 nt
Organism: Cherax quadricarinatus
Lineage: Eukaryota; Metazoa; Arthropoda; Malacostraca; Decapoda; Parastacidae
Source: RefSeq, a predicted model, not a curated record